UCAGAAUACCGCUGCCCAUCUCAGCUUUCUUGAGCUUUGUGUCAUGUAUUUGCACACUUGGUGUUGUCCUGAACACACAUGACACACCAGGAAUCGCAUCUGGAGCACUAGAAGAUGAGCACAUAGGUUUGCACACGAAGGGGGUCUCACGAGGGAUUUGAAUGAAUACCUGGCAACAAGAACACAUGGCAAUCAUAGCCGUCUGAAUCUGAGAUGGUGUCACUCAAGUGGAUGAUUGAAAAUGACAAGCAAGCAUCAAUGCCAGAUGAUGACAGGACCUUUACGGCCUCCUUUUCAUGCAAAUCUGUUGAUGUUUGCGUGUGUGUGUGUGUUUAACCAUGCAUAUUUCUAUGUACUCUCCAACACCAAAUGGAAACUAUUGGAUGCAGAUGCUGACCAAUCUCUGAGACAAGAUGCCAUCUGCCAGCUUCAUGCAUCAACAUGCCAACCUUCGCUCAACAUUUCAAGCUUAUGAACUCUUCAUCUACCUUUGCUUCAAGAUGAGAGGAUCACACCAUGUAGACUGUGCAGAGCCUGUUUAGAUAAGCAACAAAACAAUCAACCUCGAACGCUAAUUUCCCUCCCUGUAUCUUCAAACUCCACCUUCGUUCCUGCAACACAUGCAGCCCAUCAUGGACAAAAGUUCUACUUUUACAACGUUGGAGAGAGAGAGAGAGAGAGAGAGAGAGCAGAGUGCAGCUGCAGAGCAUGACAACGCCACUCCGGUUUGUGUCCCCGAAGCCAACGCCUCUCUUUGUCUCCAUCCUCCCUGCACACUCUCUCUGCUUGGUUCGCACCUUUUUUACUUCUCUCUCCAAGAAAUGCCUGCAAAGGUCCUAUCUUUUUCACCUGCCUACCCAAUCCAAGCCCACCCAUGGCGGCUUCCCUCCGUG
This 893-nucleotide long non-coding RNA is filed under the name Musa acuminata (dwarf banana). RNAcentral's name for it is "long non-coding RNA (MACU_LNC001508)". Lineage: Eukaryota; Viridiplantae; Streptophyta; Magnoliopsida; Zingiberales; Musaceae. The record is from RNAcentral.